Molecule: ribosomal RNA, 434 nt
Filed under: uncultured bacterium
Lineage: Bacteria
Description: partial 16S ribosomal RNA
Rfam family: Bacterial small subunit ribosomal RNA
Source: RNAcentral
AGCGAACGCUGGCGGCAGGCCUAACACAUGCAAGUCGAACGAACCUUUCGGGGUUAGUGGCGGACGGGUGAGUAACACGUGGGAACGUGCCUUUAGGUUCGGAAUAACUCAGGGAAACUUGUGCUAAUACCGAAUGUGCCCUUCGGGGGAAAGAUUAAUCGCCUUUAGAGCGGCCCGCGUCUGAUUAGCUAGUUGGUUGAGGUAAUGGCUCACCAAGGCGACGAUCAGUAGCUGGUCUGAGAGGAUGAUCAGCCACAUUGGGACUGAGACACGGCCCAAACUCCAACGGGAGGCAGCAGUGGGGAAUCUUGCGCAAUGGGCGAAAGCCUGACGCAGCCAUGCCGCGUGAAUGAUGAAGGUCUUAGGAUUGUAAAAUUCUUUCACCGGGGACGAUAAUGACGGUACCCGGAGAAGAAGCCCCGGCUAACUUCGUG